RNAcentral lists this ribosomal RNA (1493 nucleotides) under uncultured Bordetella sp. RNAcentral describes it as "partial 16S-23S ribosomal RNA intergenic spacer". It matches the Rfam family "Bacterial small subunit ribosomal RNA". Lineage: Bacteria; Pseudomonadati; Pseudomonadota; Betaproteobacteria; Burkholderiales; Alcaligenaceae. The record is from RNAcentral.
AGUAUGUACGUUCGGUCGUAUUGCUCUGGGCAUCAGGUAUGCAGAGGGGUUGAUCCUGGCUCAGAUUGAACGCUGGCGGGAUGCUUUACAUGCAAGUCGAACGGCAGCACGGACUUCGGUCUGGUGGCGAGUGGCGAACGGGUGAGUAAUGUAUCGGAACGCGUGCCUUUUGCCUAGUAGCGGGGGAUAACUACGCGAAAGCGUAGCUAAUACCGCAUACGCCCUUCGGGGGAAAGCGGGGGACCUUCGGGCCUGCUAUUGGAAGCGGCCGAUAUCGGAUUAGCUAGUUGGUGGAGUAACGGCUCACCAAAGGGCGACGAUCCGUAGCUGGUUUGAGAGGACGACCGGCCACACUGGGACUGGUACAGCCCAGACUCCCUGCAGGGAGGCAGCAGUGGGAAUUUGGACAAUGAAGCCUGAUCAGCCAUCCCGCGUGUGCGAUGAGGCCUUCGGGUUGUAAUACACUGGCAGGAAAGAAACGGCACGGGAUAAUACCCCGUGCAACUGACGGUACCUGCAGAAUAAGCACCGGCUAACUACGUGCCAGCAGCCGCGGUAUUACAUGGGUGCAAGCGUUAAUCGGAAUUACUGAGUAAAGCGUGCGCAGGCGGUUCGGAAGAAAGAUGUGAAAUCCCAGAGCUUAACUUUGGAACUGCAUUUUUUAACUACCGGCUAGAGUGUGUCAGAGGGAGGUGGAAUUCACGCUCAACGGUGAAAUGCGUAGAUAUGCGGAGGAACACCGAUGUGAAAAUGACCUCUGGAAUGUACUGACAUGCUGCGGCGUGGCAGGAGCAAACAGGAUUAGAUACCCUGGUAGUCCACGCCUAAACGAUGUCAACUAGCUGUUGGGCCUUCAGGCCUUGGUAGCGCAACUAACGCGUGAAGUUGACCGCCUGGGAAAUGCAGUCGCAAGAUUAAAACUCGAAUGGCGGGGACCGCACAAGCAGUGGAUGAUGUGGAUUAAUUCGAUGCAACGCGAAAAACCUUACCUACCCUUGACAUGUCUAGAAUCGAAGAGAUUUGGGAGUGCUCGCAAGAGAACCGGAGCACAGGUGCUGCAUGGCUGUCGUCAGCUCGUGUCGUGAGAUGUUGGGUUAGUCCGCAACAGGCGCAACCCUUGUCAUUAGUUGCUACGAAAGGCACUCUAGUAGUUCUGAUGGCUCAAGCCGGAGGAAGGUGGGGAUGACGUCAAGUCCUCAUGGCCCGCUAUGGACGAGCUGCCCACGUCAUACAAUGGUCGGGACGGGUCGCCAACCCCGCGAGAGGCCAAUCCCGAAACCCGAUCGUAGUCCGGAUCGCAGUCUGCAACUCUGACUGCCUUCGUGAUGGAAUCUUCGUAAUCGCGGAUCAACAUGUCGCGGUGAAUACGUUCCCGGGUCUUGUACACACCGCCCGUCACACCAUUGGGAGUGGGUUUUACCAGAAGUAGUUAGCCUAACCGUAAGGGCGAUUACCGGUAGGAUUCGCUGGGAAUUGAAGUCGUAACAAGGUAA